Molecule: ribosomal RNA, 254 nt
Filed under: uncultured bacterium
Lineage: Bacteria
Description: partial 16S ribosomal RNA
Rfam family: Bacterial small subunit ribosomal RNA
Source: RNAcentral
CACGUAGGGGGCAAGCGUUGUCCGGAUUUAUUGGGCGUAAAGAGCUCGUAGGCGGCUUAGUAAGUCGGGUGUGAAACCUCCAGGCUCAACCUGGAGACGCCACCCGAUACUGCUGUGGCUAGAGUCCGGUAGGGGAGCGUGGAAUUCCUGGUGUAGCGGUGAAAUGCGCAGAUAUCAGGAGGAACACCGGUGGCGAGGGCGGGUCUCUGGGCCGAAACUGACGCUGAGGAGCGAAAGCGUGGGGAGCGAACAGG